UUAACUAUCACUGGAUGAAGCAUUCCUUAAGAAAGGUAAAUCAACACUAUGAUGAUACUCUUUACGAAUGCACUAGCCGUAGUUAUCUAUUACCUAGAGUUCUGGAUAUAUCCCAUUGGGGAAAACACACCAUAGUGAUUUAUUGCCUGCUUUAGAUCCAUCUCGUGAAUAUUUAAAAAGGUCACUAAAUGACUAUUAUAACAUUUUUCUCAUGGUUCUUAAAGCGUCAAGGUGAGGCAAGAUGACACACCAAAGCUCAAUUGCCUAGGCAACGCCUAGGCGUUCAAGACGGCAGUCAAGGCGACGCUUUACAUGCAAGAGCGCAAGAGGAAGAUCAGAGAUCUAAGAUGCAGAGCAAAGAGGAGGGGAGAGGAAGAGCAGAGGAUUGGAGAAGAGGUAGAGUAGAGAUCCAAGAGACAGAGCAGAGAGGAGGAAAGGAAG
RNAcentral lists this long non-coding RNA (441 nucleotides) under Oryza brachyantha (malo sina). Its description in RNAcentral is "long non-coding RNA (OBRA_LNC000333)". Lineage: Eukaryota; Viridiplantae; Streptophyta; Magnoliopsida; Poales; Poaceae. The record is from RNAcentral.